GUUAUUAUAUCUUAAAUCCUUUAUAUUUGUUACGUGUUGCCAUGAUGCUACUACCAAACGUAUCACAGUCAUGAGUGCCUGGUUAUAUGGCAUUAGUAAUGACUUAGAUAAGCUUGAUUGUGUUGGAAGAGCAAUGAAGUAGUUAGAGAGUUGUAGGGAAAAAUUAGCAAAGGCCGGUAUUUUGGUUGAAUUAAAAUUUAGUUCUCAAUAAGAGUGAUUUUUAGGAUGAAAUGAAUUACUCUCCUUAUGAAAAAAAGGAUUCAAGUAUUGUACUCCUGAAAGUCUAUAAUUCUGUUCUAAUUAUUUGUUUUAUUUUUUCCUUUAAACAGGUACUCAAACCUCAGUGAUAUAUCGAACCACAUGUUCCCUCCUGUUGCUCAUCAGGAGACACUGGGCGAAUACUCUUCCUUGCAAUACUGGCGGGCACCCUUGCCUGAUGUGUCCACUGAAAUAGAAGCAGUCCUUUCAGAGGAGAGAGGGAAAUAGUGAUCUUGUUGGAACCUUAAACUUUUCAGUGGUGGAAUGAAAAUGUUGCGUCUGCAAUGCACGAGUGAGUAGUGGAGGGACCAGCCUCAGACAUUCCAAGAAGAACGAAGAUCCUAAUUGUACUUUACAUCAAGGAAAGGAAAUUGCUGAUUUACACUUGAAGUAUAUUUGUAAUGGAGCCUGUUGAAGUCUUCUCUGAGGUUACAGAUAUUUUCAGUUCAUGAAGGAUUGCAGUGUUUGAAUGCUGUUAACAUGUACAUUACAUGUGGGCUGCUUACCUCAGGGAUGGUUAUUAAUUUAUUGUGGUUGCUGAAUAAGCCGAUUGAUUUCCACAAAUAUGAUGGUAUGUUCUUUUUUAUAAGGCUGAUAAACAAGGUUAAGUCAGACCUGUGAUUAACUGGGAGUUCGUUUGGGAAACAGGCAAAAAGACAGGACAUUGUACGUCAAUAACAUUUUUUUUUUUUUUUUUUUAAGCAUUAUCAGACUGAUAACCUACCAACACUUUUAAUAAUAUUAAAGUGAAUUUAAUGGGUGAAUACUGUGGAUGGAGGGUUUCAUUUCAAUUAUUAGAAAAUAUUACAAGAAAAAGAUUAACUUGAAAUUAUUAGUUGUGUUAAAAUACAUGAAAGCAAAAUUUGUCAUUCCUAGCAUUUAUAUUGGUGUAAGUGAUUAGCUAUUUAUUAUUCUCCUUGUCAUUUCAAUUUUGCUAUUGGGUACUAUCGAUAGAGACUGAAAAUUAAAAUUGCAGGUGUCAGAUUUUUGGAAAUUGUGUAGAAAAACCAGUGAUUGUAAAAUUAUGCAACUGAAGAGUAAUAUCUACAUGUGACUGGACUUAGAAUGAUAUUCUUUCUUUAUAAUAAGUGAUAUCUGGUGUUGUAGGUUUAAGUUCAGAAAUUUGCAUAUCAGUUUAGUUUUAUGUGUUAUUCAGGGAAAUUAAGUAUAUAUUUAUUUUUUGUACAGUUCUAUGUUUUGUCUGGUCUACAUUCAUUCAUUUCCAUCUCAUUCUUGCAUUAUCAGAAUCUGAAGCCAUUUAUUUGAAUUUAAUUCCCAUAUUUAUUACACGAGCAGCUUUCGUAUUGUCUAGUUACUCUAUCAAGCUGCUUUUCAUCAACACCAUAUAAUACUGUAUGUAUUUAUAUUCCUUUACAUGUUGUAGGGAUUAAAUCAUGUAAUUUGAAGCAUCUCAUCUGAAAGUUUACAGGCUACAUCAGCUGUGAUUCUCAAGGAGUCAGAGGAUGUUCUAAAAGCUUGGGGAGUUGUUGCACAUAUGUGAUAAUAAAAAAAACAAUUAGUGCUGUCAACUGUGAUCUGUUGAAGACAUCCACCAAGGUGCUGUAUAUAACAUGAAGUGUUGAUUAUUUCAAAUUCUGAAUUGGUUUGCAGAUGUUCCAGAAUUCAGAGUAAACAGUGUUGUGUACAAGUGUGUGAGUUUACACAGGCAUGUGGGAUCUGUCGGAAGUUGUAUAUGUUGAUGUGCAGUACUGUGACCUUGCAUCCAUCCGUUGCCUCGGUUCUGUUAACGUAAAACCUUCAUUUCAGGCGUGGAGAUUCCAUUUUCAUUUGAAAGAUGAAUCUGAACUGUUUCAUUAGAUAUUUCUUAAGAACAAUUCACUCUUUGUUUUGAAAUUAGUUCAUGGUUAGGAGAGAGGAUGAUCAGAAGGCACAAUCGUUGUAGGUUGGCAAUAUAUUGGAAUAACUGUUUUGGUUCAAAGAGAAAAGAAGCAUUUAUUCUGACCCACUGGAAGCCAGUGCAAAAUUUCAAAAGAACGAUAAUUUGUAGUCACAAAAAAUUAUCACUCUAGUUAAAAAAAAAAAAAAAAAAAGCAUUAAAGAAAAAAUAAAAGAUUAUACAGAAGAGUAGGUAUUUAAUUCCAAAAUUACCAGUGGAUUCUAAAGAGUAAAAAUGAAAUGAAUGAAAGAAAUGUGUUGUCGGUAUCAGAAUGAGUAAUGUAUGUAGCAUGAAUGGCAAACUUCUCUAAUAGCUUGUGAUUUACUUAAUGGUAUGUGAUACAUCAUAGUGUAGAUUGAGGAUUUAUACACAGUUACCCUUGCCUUCAUUUCAUUGGCUUCUUUACACAUGGAGUAUUUGUGAAAAUGUCUGUUAACUUUUUAAUCACUUUCAUUUUGUAGUCCAGUGUACUGGAAUAUGAUAAAAGGAUACAGUAUGUGUGCUCUCAUUUAUUCUGAAUAUAACAAGUGUCAUAUUUAGUUACUUUUCAAUGAGGAAUUUUUGUUGCAUAUGUUGUGUGCAUCUUUUGUACAAAUCUUUUUGCUUGUAUCAGGCAAAUAUAGGGUUAAGUUUUAUGAUAGUAUCAGAUUGAUUUUUGCAAAUAUAGCUUUUAAGAAUUGUUUUCAGUGAAGUGUAAAUCAGGUUUUGUGAUUAUUUUUUUAUCAUUAUUAUUAUUAUUAUGGGUUUCUUUAUUUCUUUUUUACGAGAUGAUCAAGGGCCACUGAGAUGUCAGCAAGUGGAGUAGGUAGAAUGAUGUAGGUCCUAAAACUGAGUUCAAUUUGACAUGUAAUCUGUUACCACUGUAUCUAUUACAAGUUUUCUCUUUGUAUUUAAAUGGCAUUUAUAUUCAUAGUCUACAAGAUACAGAACAAAAGAAAAUAGAACAAUUUGCAAUAACAUUUGGGGCAUACUGGAUUGUAUUUUCAUUUUCAUCCAUCAUGAUCUUUGGGAAGGAAGCUAAUACUCACAUGGAAGUUAUGUAAAUUCUUCUAAUUUUGCAUUGACAUGUGUACUUUAGUUGAAUAUUUAAGUAUUAUAUUAUUUAUGUGUAGAGAGGGUUUUCCCAAAUCAGUGUUCACCAAUUCCUCAUUCACGUGACCAAAAUGUUAGCAGUAUUAUGCUUUAGAUGUGCUUUUUCAGUACUGGCUUCAUAAUUAGAAGUGGUGCAAGUCAUAUUGGCUAGAUAAGUUUUUUUUUUUAUAAGGAAAAUAACUUCACCUAGUUGGAAAAUCUCUGUAUGAAGGAUCUCUAUCCAUUCGGACUCUAGAGUAUAUGUUGCUUGGAAAAUUAACUACAUGUCCCUUAAGAAAUUGAGCCAGAUGUAUAGCAUUUACAAAUGGAAUGAAACAUCUAUUUUGUUUGAAUUGGUCAUUAGGAAUAGUAAAGCAAAAAUAUGAAUUUUCUUGUAGCACAUCUUGUUAGAUGAAAAAAAAUAAUAAUUAAGAUAGGCCAAGUUGUAAAGUGGCGAGCUGUAAUUUGCCACCUUUUUAUUGUCAUUGGCUCAAUUCACUGCAUUUUUUGCUAGGCGUUUAGCACUGCUCCAGUUCUGCAUUUCCAUGAAAUUCUUUAGAGAUCACAUAUUCCUACUACACUGAAUGUGUUCCUCUAGUUACAUUGCUGACAGUUUGACCGAAGACGGUCUUUGUCUUACAUGCUUAUUUUAUUUGCUGUCUUGUGAUAUGCUCAUGUCAAUAAAUUAUAAACAGGAAUGA
This is a long non-coding RNA of Penaeus indicus, 3927 nucleotides long. RefSeq lists it as uncharacterized. NCBI's taxonomy places the organism in Eukaryota, Metazoa, Arthropoda, Malacostraca, Decapoda, Penaeidae. The record is from RefSeq and is a predicted model, not a curated record. The transcript is spliced from 2 exons.